RNAcentral lists this non-coding RNA (32 nucleotides) under Mus musculus (house mouse). The record is from RNAcentral. Lineage: Eukaryota; Metazoa; Chordata; Mammalia; Rodentia; Muridae.
UGACACGAGAGAACAUUGUGGACCUGCUCUGU